This 591-nucleotide small RNA is filed under the name Pan troglodytes (chimpanzee). RNAcentral's name for it is "processed transcript". Lineage: Eukaryota; Metazoa; Chordata; Mammalia; Primates; Hominidae. The record is from RNAcentral.
CUGAAGCAUUUUGAAGGAACUGAGUUUCCUAAUCCUCUAAUCAGCAAGUACCUUCUAACCUGCAAAACUGCGCACCAACUGACAGUGAGAAUCAAGAACCUCAACAUGAACAGAGCUCCUGACAACAUCAUUAAAUUUUAUAAGAAGACCAAACAGCUGCCAGUCCUAGUAAAAUGCUGUGAAGAGAUCCAGCCACAUCAGUGGAAGCCACCUAUAGAGAGAGAAGAACACCGGCUCCCAUUCUGGUUAAAGGUACAGCCCUCUUCCUUGAAGUCUGUAGGAGGCAGAAGGUCACUGAAAGUUCUGAGAGAAUAUCAAGGGCUUCCUUAAUCGUCUAAUGCUUUAGUUGUAGAACUAGGACUUUAGAAAUCUUCCUGAUUCACCUUUCUUCCCUUACUUUUCUGCCCUUCUCUGGGUGAUUCUACAGCAUUUUCAAAAUAAUAGGUAAAAUAAUAAUUUGCUAAAGGAAAUUCACAGAAGUUUCUAAAGUGUAUAAUUAGAAUGUGGUCUUUGUAGAUUUGAUAUGCAGAGAGACCCUUCUUGGAAAGAUGCCUUGAGACUGUCUAAGGUCUCUAAAACCUAGAAAGCCCU